Molecule: ribosomal RNA, 253 nt
Filed under: uncultured bacterium
Lineage: Bacteria
Description: partial 16S ribosomal RNA
Rfam family: Bacterial small subunit ribosomal RNA
Source: RNAcentral
UACGAGGGGGGCGAGCGUUGUUCGGAAUUAUUGGGCGUAAAGGGUGCGUAGGCGGUUUGGUAAGUCUUGUGUGAAAUCUCUGGGCUCAACUCAGAGUCUGCACGAGAAACUGCCGGGCUUGAGUGUGGGAGAGGUGAGUGGAAUUCCUGGUGUAGCGGUGAAAUGCGUAGAUAUCAGGAGGAACACCAGCGGCGAAGGCGGCGCUCUGGGCCGGAACUGACGCUGAGGAGCGAAAGCGUGGGUAGCAAACAGG